RNAcentral lists this transfer RNA (64 nucleotides) under Calomicrus pinicola. Its description in RNAcentral is "tRNA-Trp". The record is from RNAcentral. Lineage: Eukaryota; Metazoa; Arthropoda; Insecta; Coleoptera; Chrysomelidae.
AAGGAUUUAAGUUAAAAAAACUAUUAACCUUCAAAGUUGAAAUUAGACAAGGCUCUAAGCCUUA